RNAcentral lists this ribosomal RNA (832 nucleotides) under uncultured bacterium. Its description in RNAcentral is "bacterial SSU rRNA". It matches the Rfam family "Bacterial small subunit ribosomal RNA", at positions 28 to 827 of the family's 1533-position model. The record is from RNAcentral.
GACGAACGCUGGCGGCGUGCUUAACACAUGCAAGUCGAACGGUCUACCUCGACUGAAACCUUCGGGUUGACGACGAGAUCUAGAUAGUGGCGGACGGGUGAGUAACACGUGAAUAAUCUGUCCUCAAGUCUGGGAUAACCUGGCGAAAGUCGGGCUAAUCCGAGGUAAGCUGAGAGUGUGGCAUCACACAAUCAGAAAAGGUGGUUUUACCAUCGUUUGAGGAGGAGUUCGCGGUAGAUUAGCUAGCUGGUGAGGUAAUGGCUCACCAGGGCAAUAAUCUAUAGCUGGUCUGAGAGGACGAUCAGUCACACUGGAACUGAGACACGGUCCAGACUCCUACGGGAGGCAGCAGUGGGGAAUCUUCCACAAUGGGCGAAAGCCUGAUGGAGCAACGCCGCGUGAGUGAAGAAGGUCUUAGGAUUGUAAAGCUCUGUCCUUAGGGAAGAACUGUGGGUAUAGUAAAUGCUACCCACCUGACGGUACCUUUGGAGGAAGCACUGGCUAACUACGUGCCAGCAGCCGCGGUAAUACGUAGAGUGCAAGCGUUGUCCGGAAUUAUUGGGCGUAAAGGGUACGCAGGCGGAUAAUCAAGUCAAGCGUGAAAGGUGUCGGCUUAACCGACAGACUGCGUUUGAAACUGGUUAUCUUGAGUGUAACAGAGGAGAGUGGAAUUCCUAGUGUAGUGGUGAAAUACGUAGAUAUUAGGAAGAACACCAGUGGCGAAGGCGACUCUCUGGGUUAACACUGACGCUGAGGUACGAAAGCUGGGGGAGCGAACGGGAUUAGAUACCCCGGUAGUCCCAGCCGUAAACGAUGGAUACUAGGUGUUGGA